AACGACUCUCGGCAACGGAUAUCUCGGCUCUCGCAUCGAUGAAGAACGUAGCGAAAUGCGAUACUUGGUGUGAAUUGCAGAAUCCCGUGAACCAUCGAGUCUUUGAACGCAAGUUGCGCCCGAAGCCAUCAGGUUGAGGGCACGUCUGC
RNAcentral lists this ribosomal RNA (149 nucleotides) under Cyrtandra wagneri. RNAcentral describes it as "5.8S ribosomal RNA". It matches the Rfam family "5.8S ribosomal RNA". Rfam says of the family: 5.8S ribosomal RNA (5.8S rRNA) is a component of the large subunit of the eukaryotic ribosome. It is transcribed by RNA polymerase I as part of the 45S precursor that also contains 18S and 28S rRNA. Functionally, it is thought that 5.8S rRNA may be involved in ribosome translocation. Lineage: Eukaryota; Viridiplantae; Streptophyta; Magnoliopsida; Lamiales; Gesneriaceae. The record is from RNAcentral.